This 28-nucleotide non-coding RNA is filed under the name Mus musculus (house mouse). The record is from RNAcentral. Lineage: Eukaryota; Metazoa; Chordata; Mammalia; Rodentia; Muridae.
UGUUUUACAUGUUUAUGGCUAUAGUAGA